Molecule: ribosomal RNA, 544 nt
Filed under: uncultured bacterium
Lineage: Bacteria
Description: bacterial SSU rRNA
Rfam family: Bacterial small subunit ribosomal RNA
Source: RNAcentral
GGAAUCUUGCGCAAUGGGCGAAAGCCUGACGCAGCAACGCCGCGUGCGGGAAGAAGGCUUUCGGGCUGUAAACCGCUUUCAGUAGGAACGAAACUGACGGUACCUACAGAAGAAGGAGCGGCCAACUAUGUGCCAGCAGCCGCGGUGACACAUAGGCUCCAAGCGUUGUCCGGAUUUAUUGGGCGUAAAGAGCUCGUAGGCGGUUGAGUAAGUCGGGUGUGAAAACUUUGGGCUUAACCCAAAGAUGCCACUCGAUACUGCUUUGACUUGAGUUCGGUAGGGGAGUGGGGAAUUCCUUGUGUAGCGGUGAAAUGCGCAGAUAUGAGGAGGAACACCGGUGGCGAAGGCGCCACUCUGGGCCGAUACUGACGCUGAGGAGCGAAAGCGUGGGGAGCAAACAGGAUUAGAUACCCUGGUAGUCCACGCGGUAAACGGUGGUCACUAGGUGUGGGUCUCUUCAAACGAGAUCUGCGCCGUCGCUAACGCAUUAAGUGACCCGCCUGGGGAGUACGGUCGCAAGACUAAAACUCAAAUGAAUUGACGG